CUUGACAUCCAGAGAAUUUAGCAGAGAUGCUUUAGUGCCUUCGGGAACUCUGAGACAGGUGCUGCAUGGCUGUCGUCAGCUCGUGUUGUGAAAUGUUGGGUUAAGUCCGCAACGAGCGCAACCCUUAUCCUUUGUUGCCAGCACGUAAUGGUGGGAAACUCAAAGGAGACUGCCGGUGAUAAACCGGAGGAAGGUGGGGAUGACGUCAAGUCAUCAUGGCCCUUACGAGUAGGGCUACACACGUGCUACAAUGGCGUAUACAAAGAGAAGCGACCUCGCGAGAGCAAGCGGACCUCAUAAAGUGCGUCGUAGUCCGGAUUGGAGUCUGCAACUCGACUCCAUGAAGUCGGAAUCGCUAGUAAUCGUAAAUCAGAAUGUUACGGUGAAUACGUUCCCGGGCCUUGUACACACCGCCCGUCACACCAUGGGAGUGGGUUGCAAAAGAAGUAGAUAGCUUAACCUUCGGGAGGGCGUUUACCACUUUGUGAUUCAUGACUGGGGUGAAGUCGUAACAAGGUAAGCGUAGUGCU
RNAcentral lists this ribosomal RNA (530 nucleotides) under uncultured bacterium. RNAcentral's name for it is "bacterial SSU rRNA". It matches the Rfam family "Bacterial small subunit ribosomal RNA", at positions 980 to 1509 of the family's 1533-position model. The record is from RNAcentral.